Molecule: ribosomal RNA, 2340 nt
Filed under: Escherichia coli
Lineage: Bacteria; Pseudomonadati; Pseudomonadota; Gammaproteobacteria; Enterobacterales; Enterobacteriaceae
Description: partial 23S ribosomal RNA
Rfam family: Bacterial large subunit ribosomal RNA
Source: RNAcentral
GGUUAAGCGACUAAGCGUACACGGUGGAUGCCCUGGCAGUCAGAGGCGAUGAAGGACGUACUAAUCUGCGAUAAGCGUCGGUAAGGUGAUAUGAACCGUUAUAACCGGCGAUUUCCGAAUGGGGAAACCCAGUGUGAUUCGUCACACUAUCAUUAACUGAAUCCAUAGGUUAAUGAGGCGAACCGGGGGAACUGAAACAUCUAAGUACCCCGAGGAAAAGAAAUCAACCGAGAUUCCCCCAGUAGCGGCGAGCGAACGGGGAGCAGCCCAGAGCCUGAAUCAGUGUGUGUGUUAGUGGAAGCGUCUGGAAAGGCGCGCGAUACAGGGUGACAGCCCCGUACACAAAAAUGCACAUACUGUGAGCUCGAUGAGUAGGGCGGGACACGUGGUAUCCUGUCUGAAUAUGGGGGGACCAUCCUCCAAGGCUAAAUACUCCUGACUGACCGAUAGUGAACCAGUACCGUGAGGGAAAGGCGAAAAGAACCCCGGCGAGGGGAGUGAAAAAGAACCUGAAACCGUGUACGUACAAGCAGUGGGAGCACGCUUAGGCGUGUGACUGCGUACCUUUUGUAUAAUGGGUCAGCGACUUAUAUUCUGUAGCAAGGUUAACCGAAUAGGGGAGCCGAAGGGAAACCGAGUCUUAACUGGGCGUUAAGUUGCAGGGUAUAGACCCGAAACCCGGUGAUCUAGCCAUGGGCAGGUUGAAGGUUGGGUAACACUAACUGGAGGACCGAACCGACUAAUGUUGAAAAAUUAGCGGAUGACUUGUGGCUGGGGGUGAAAGGCCAAUCAAACCGGGAGAUAGCUGGUUCUCCCCGAAAGCUAUUUAGGUAGCGCCUCGUGAAUUCAUCUCCGGGGGUAGAGCACUGUUUCGGCAAGGGGGUCAUCCCGACUUACCAACCCGAUGCAAACUGCGAAUACCGGAGAAUGUUAUCACGGGAGACACACGGCGGGUGCUAACGUCCGUCGUGAAGAGGGAAACAACCCAGACCGCCAGCUAAGGUCCCAAAGUCAUGGUUAAGUGGGAAACGAUGUGGGAAGGCCCAGACAGCCAGGAUGUUGGCUUAGAAGCAGCCAUCAUUUAAAGAAAGCGUAAUAGCUCACUGGUCGAGUCGGCCUGCGCGGAAGAUGUAACGGGGCUAAACCAUGCACCGAAGCUGCGGCAGCGACGCUUAUGCGUUGUUGGGUAGGGGAGCGUUCUGUAAGCCUGUGAAGGUGUGCUGUGAGGCAUGCUGGAGGUAUCAGAAGUGCGAAUGCUGACAUAAGUAACGAUAAAGCGGGUGAAAAGCCCGCUCGCCGGAAGACCAAGGGUUCCUGUCCAACGUUAAUCGGGGCAGGGUGAGUCGACCCCUAAGGCGAGGCCGAAAGGCGUAGUCGAUGGGAAACAGGUUAAUAUUCCUGUACUUGGUGUUACUGCGAAGGGGGGACGGAGAAGGCUAUGUUGGCCGGGCGACGGUUGUCCCGGUUUAAGCGUGUAGGCUGGUUUUCCAGGCAAAUCCGGAAAAUCAAGGCUGAGGCGUGAUGACGAGGCACUACGGUGCUGAAGCAACAAAUGCCCUGCUUCCAGGAAAAGCCUCUAAGCAUCAGGUAACAUCAAAUCGUACCCCAAACCGACACAGGUGGUCAGGUAGAGAAUACCAAGGCGCUUGAGAGAACUCGGGUGAAGGAACUAGGCAAAAUGGUGCCGUAACUUCGGGAGAAGGCACGCUGAUAUGUAGGUGAAGCGACUUGCUCGUGGAGCUGAAAUCAGUCGAAGAUACCAGCUGGCUGCAACUGUUUAUUAAAAACACAGCACUGUGCAAACACGAAAGUGGACGUAUACGGUGUGACGCCUGCCCGGUGCCGGAAGGUUAAUUGAUGGGGUCAGCGCAAGCGAAGCUCUUGAUCGAAGCCCCGGUAAACGGCGGCCGUAACUAUAACGGUCCUAAGGUAGCGAAAUUCCUUGUCGGGUAAGUUCCGACCUGCACGAAUGGCGUAAUGAUGGCCAGGCUGUCUCCACCCGAGACUCAGUGAAAUUGAACUCGCUGUGAAGAUGCAGUGUACCCGCGGCAAGACGGAAAGACCCCGUGAACCUUUACUAUAGCUUGACACUGAACAUUGAGCCUUGAUGUGUAGGAUAGGUGGGAGGCUUAGAAGUGUGGACGCCAGUCUGCAUGGAGCCGACCUUGAAAUACCACCCUUUAAUGUUUGAUGUUCUAACGUUGACCCGUAAUCCGGGUUGCGGACAGUGUCUGGUGGGUAGUUUGACUGGGGCGGUCUCCUCCUAAAGAGUAACGGAGGAGCACGAAGGUUGGCUAAUCCUGGUCGGACAUCAGGAGGUUAGUGCAAUGGCAUAAGCCA